CGUCGAGGUGCUGAAUGCCAGGAGCUCUGAGCAGCGAGGUUACAUCAGAGGAUGAUGAAGAGAUCUGCACUGGCCCAGGCAGGAGGGCAGUGCUUGGCAGUGGUCGGUGGUGGUCACGGUGGGUGUUUAGGGAUGAGCAGUGGAUGGUGAAGAGACAGGACAUCGUUGGAACGCAGGCCCAAGGCAAGGGCCCCAGCAGGUAAGGACACACUCUGGGGACAGAGUGUAGGGUAUUGGCAGGUUGCCCUCUUGGCAGGGAUACAGGCAGUUGUUAAAGAGUGCAGGCGGUGGCAGGUUGGGAAGUGUAGGUGUCAAGUUGGGUAUCGUAGAUGGCACUUUGGGAACCAUAGGUGUUAGGUUGGGUAGCAUAGGUGGCACUUUGCAUAGUACAGGUGUUAGGUUGGGUAGCAUAGGUGGCACAUUGGGUACUGUAGGUGUUAGGUUGGAUACUGUAGGUGUCACUUUGGGAACCAUAGGUGUUAGGUUGGGUAGUGUAAGUGGCACU
Strigops habroptila (Kakapo) is the source of this 505-nucleotide long non-coding RNA. RefSeq lists it as uncharacterized. The transcript is spliced from 3 exons. The record is from RefSeq and is a predicted model, not a curated record. Lineage: Eukaryota; Metazoa; Chordata; Aves; Psittaciformes; Psittacidae.